RNAcentral lists this long non-coding RNA (1053 nucleotides) under Homo sapiens (human). RNAcentral's name for it is "HSALNT0031434". The record is from RNAcentral. Lineage: Eukaryota; Metazoa; Chordata; Mammalia; Primates; Hominidae.
AAGGUGUCAAGUGUCUUCAUUCCUCAAGCUGCAACUCAAGUAAUCGAACUCAUCAAUAAGCUGCUCAGGACUUAAAUCCUACAAAUCUCUAGCCAGAAGCUAAGAGGAGUAUAUUAAUUUCUGGUUGCAAGCAACAGAAAUGGACUUUCUGGAAUUAAAUGGUAACUUAAGGAAGCUGAGAUCAAGAAAGUUUAAAUAACUUAAAGGUCAAAGAGCAAGUUAGAGGAAGAGAUGGAACAGAAAUUUCAUCAAAUAUUCUAUACCCUUACUACCCGAAGUGUGGUCUGUGGACGACCUCAGCUGGGGGCUGGUUAGGAAGGCAAACUUGCAGGCCCCACCCCAAACCUACUGAGUCAGAAUCUGCAUUUUAACAAGAUGCUGGGGUAAUUCACAUGGACACUAAAGUCUGAGAAGCACUGCUUUAUUUUUAUAGGUCUCUACUUCUGUGUCAUCCAGUGGAAACUGAACCCAGGUGUUUCUCACAUGACUUUGACUGAUGAUGGUCUUUCCUCAAUUCACAGGAAAAAAAGACAUAAUUGUUUCGUCAUUAUGUUCUAAACCCUACAGCCUGUCCCUGUGUUCUAUUAGCACACUCAGACAGAGAGCAGAUUAUGUGAUCACCAGAAAUGUAACAAUAGGAUGCACCUAAGCCAAAUUCCAACAGAAUGAUGGGAGGAAUUCUUCAAAUCAGGACUUCAUAUAGGCAAUGUUGAGGAUGACCAGUCCCAACUGUGAAAUCGGAACCAAAACUGUAAUGAUAAGAAUUGUUCCAUGGUACUUGGGUGCAAGAAAUAUCACAUUUCUUUAUUGUUUUAAAUCAAAUUAAACAGUCCCACCUGUUGAGCAGAAAAUCUAUGUGCAAUUAUUUAGGACACCCUCUCCACCUUUCCUUGGUUGAAUCAGAACCCAGAGGCUUAUAUAGUUCUAAAAAAACACAAAUUAAAAAUUUCAAGAGAAAAGGGGUUGGCAGGGGGAGGGGGGAGAAAUGGCUCUUUGUCCUCCAGAUGGCCCUGGCCACUGACUUUCCUUCUGCUCAAGCCACUGCUCUAGGAG